RNAcentral lists this long non-coding RNA (786 nucleotides) under Capsella grandiflora. RNAcentral's name for it is "long non-coding RNA (CGRA_LNC000697)". The record is from RNAcentral. Lineage: Eukaryota; Viridiplantae; Streptophyta; Magnoliopsida; Brassicales; Brassicaceae.
GGUAACGGUCAGAUGAAAAUGCCUCCUGUUGCAGCUAAGGACCAGAAGAAGUCUGUUAAGUUUGCGGAAGAUGAUGACGAUGAGUUUAGUGAGGAUGAUUAUGAUGACGAGGACUUCAGUGAGGAUGAUUAUGAUGAUGAUGAGUUCGAUGAUGAUGAAGAUGACGAUGAGGAGAUGGGAGGACAUGGAGGAGGUAAUCACAUGCCUCCUAAUAAGAUGAUGAUGCCUAACAAAUUGCCUCAGAUGGGUGGUGGUGCUGGACCCAAGGGGCCUAAUGAGAUAAUGAUGAUGAUGAAUGGGUUCAAAGGCGGUGCUGGCGGCGGCGGAGGAAAGAAAGGCGGCGGUGGCGGUGGGGGUGGGUUUGAGAUUCCGGUGCAAAUGAAGGGAAUGAGUGAGGGUAAAAAUGGAAAGGAUGGUAAAAAAGGAGCUAAAGGAGGUGACAAGGGUAAGAAAGAAGGGAAAGAGAAUAAAGGAGGUGGGGGCAAAACCGGGAAAACAGAUGCCAAAAGUGGUGGUGGUGGCCUUCUAGGGUUUUUCAAAAAGGGUAACAGUGGGAAAGGAGAUGAGAAGAAGAGCGGAGGGAAGAAAGAUGGGGCUGGGGGUAAUAAAGUCAAAUCACCUGGUGGGGGAGGAGGUGGAGUUCAGCAUUAUGAUAGUGGGCCUAAAAAAGGUGGAGGUGGGUCUAAAGGCGGAUCCCAUGGGGGCCAUGAUAUUGAUGAGCUCAUGAAGCAGCACAGCAAAGGAGGAGGGGGUGGAGGUAACAAGGCCAAUCAUAACCAUGGCGCC